GGGCUGAUCGCUGCAUUCCGUGCGGCGUAUAGCAGCAAAAGCCUGCAUGCGAUGGGGCGCGAGGCAAGGGUAAGGAUGGUCAAGGAGUAUGACAAUGAGGUGGUGAGCAACAUGGUUCUGAAAAGGCUAAAGGAGAUCAGUGAAUACCAGCUUUCGCGCCCUCGCACAGCGAGAUCCCUGGAUUUGGCGAAAGACCCAGUACCAACCGAUGUGCACAUAUGUGCCAUGCUCCCUAAGGCUAGUAUCCGUGUGCACCGGACAACACCAGCCCUGAAGAUUGCUGUGGUGUCGACAGCACCUCCACGGCGGUGUGGGAUUGCUACCUUCAACACAGCUCUACUGCGCUACUUGCGGCCACUGCUGCCCCAAGGCAGCUCAGUUGAAGUAUUUCCGCUGGUCGGCGAUAUGGAGGCGGCGCCAUUUGGUAUGGAUCCUACCAUGCAUGUUAUACGGCAAGAAAACUAUGGAGACUACAUCGCGACAGCUCGCCUCAUAAAUGAUGGUGGCUUUCAUGCAGCCAUAUUACAGCACGAGUUUGGGAUCUGGGGUGGUACCACUGGAUGUUUGGUUGUUUGCUUUUUAAAAAUGCUGGAGGUGCCAGCUGUUACUGUCAUUCACACGCUCAGCGACAACCUGGGAAACUCGGACCAAUACAUUUUGCAGCAAUUAUCGGCAGCAUCCACAGCAGUUGUCGUUAUGUCUGAAUCCUCCCGGAACAAGCUGGGGGCGUUCCACGGCAUCCCGGGCAACAACGUCGUGGUUUUGCCACAUGGAGCGCCAGUGAUAUCUGCUGUGGACCCGCUUGCAGCGAAGGCAAUGCUAAACCUGACUGGAAGGACUGUACUGUUGACGCACGGCCUAAUAAACCCCAUGAAGGGUGUUGAUCUGGUGCUGGACGCCUUGCCCACAAUCGUAAAGGAGUUCCCCGCCGUGGUGUAUUUAGUCGUUGGCGAGCCCCACCCGGACUGUGGCUGGCCUUGCGCGAAUUACUAUGAGCAGCUGGUCAAGGCUGUUUCAGAUCAUCGUAUCAUGGACCACGUCAGGUUUGUGACCGAGUUCAUCAAUGAUCAGUUGUUGUUGCAAUACGUCCAGGCGGCUGAUAUCUACGUCCUGCCGUAUAAGGAUCGCAUCACGACCAACUCAGGCACCCUUACUAUGGCCCUUGCCGCUGGGAAAGCAAUAGUGUCUACCCCCUUCGAUCAUGCCGUGUCGGUGUUGCCGGGCCGCGGUGUGCUAGUAGAUUUUGAAAGCCCCACCUCGCUCCAAGAAGGAAUAUUGCAGCUGCUUCGUGAUGACGGCCUCAGAGUGAAGUACCAACAGGCAGCCAGAGAGCUGUCGUCCGGGAAGGAUUGGCGGUCAGUAGCCGGGGGAUACUUGUCACUGCUGCAAAAUAUAACGGCGUGAAGUCAGGUAGAUGACAGUAUGACCGAUGACAGGACCCCUGUAGCAUGGGGUUAUGCAAUGACCAGGGAUGCGCUCAGUGGCAAAUAAGUCGUGCAUUUGCGGGUUGCCACGAUACACCGUAAUCACCGAUGGCCUUGUAUGGCCCUUUCACCAAUUAUAGUGGCGCGGUUGUGGCCGAAACACACUUUUCGCCGUGCUGCAGUGGGGAUUUUAGGUCCUGCAUAGCUUGGCCGCUUACCCGGUUAACGAUGGGUAGUGUUGUGUAGAGCGUCGAAGAAACGUAUAUCCUGGUCACGGAAAGUAGCACAGUGUGUGCGUUUUACAGAAUUAGGAUGCGGCUGUGUGUUCGUUGCGACAUCACGAUCCUUGCGGCGGCUGUAUCAUAUUUCAAGGACUUGGCCUAGCUGUGUGUUUUCUGUGCUCUUAAUUCAUGUUGUGCUGGCUGCGCAUACGCAUUACGAACUCGAAUUUAUCGUUUUCAUUCUAUAUGUUUGGUGUGACAUCAGUGUGUGGGAGUGGAGCGAUGUUAUGAUGUUAGCAUCAUAGGCGAGGGCUGUGUACUUGCUUGUCAUGAACGCGUAGCACUGCCGUUUUUGUCUGUUUUCCCUCGUUAUUGUGCUGAGCCAUUCCUGGUUUAUAGGACGUUGCGGCCACUGGGUUUGUAGAGGGUAUAGUGCUCUUGCUUUUUGCAAGCAAUGGCUUGUAACACACAAUCACAUCGAAGGGCGCUGGAGGUCGAGUCAGUAUUUAGCGAGCGCUUUCUACGCCCUCAUAUCAAUUGGAUUUUAAUCUGGUAAGCGGCUUGGACAACGUAAGGUAUGGUGCAGUCUUUCAACAGGGGUCCUCUGAUCCCACAUGCAUGUAACAUGGCGGUGGUUCGAUGUUGAGAAUUUAUGGUGUCACAUCUCACAUGGUGGGGAUGGAGUGAUAAGUGUCGUAGUUGGGAAUGGUACCGUGCAAUUCAUUUCCUCCUUUCAUCGUGCUCUGCUUAUUGCUUUUGACAUGGCAGCUUUGUGUUCGGUAUGGCAAGAGUUCACAGCUGCCUACCAUAGGUUUGGUCCCACACUUGCUCCAUUGCACAUUUGAUGUUCCUGCUAGACAGUGGUUGGCUGCCACCAUGGCUCGGUUGGACGCCAGCAGCAAGCCAGCACGAUGGUACUGCCACUACCUUCUUGUGUUUGCCUCGGUAUGAGGGGGUUCAGUUGAAGUGCUCACUGAAUAUCAAUAGUGGCGUGACCCUUGUGACCCUAACGAAACACCCUCAUACCACCCUCACGAACUCUAAAAUUAAGGUGCUUUAUGGCUAUGAAUUUGGAGAACGGCAUUCUUAUAUGCAUUCAAACGCAUGUUCAGAACUACGGCCCCAAAGAACAUGCCUAAGGAAAUGGGCCCUGAGCACAGGGACCGUUCAAACUGUGACCCAUGGGAGCCAUGUAAUCCAGCAGUAGGGGGCCCAGGCCGUUGUGCCCUGGUCAGUGACCUCUGUUGCUGGGGCAGGGGUCCAGGACGGAUUGUUUGACCACUAGCGAAUGCCUCUUGGCAGCACUGGCUGCGGUAGUGGCCGGGCAGGCAAUUACACUCCCAUGUGGCCAACGUGCGUCGUUGCUGGCUUUUGCAAAUACACAUACCCGACUGGUCAGGAGAACAGCCGGAAGAUUCACCCUCGCUUCAUUCCAGUUAGUCUCUAUCAAAGCUGCUGUUUACCCCAUAGUACCGUGUACCGAGAUGGCAGGGCCUUUGCCGCCUCACAUGCAGCAGCAGCAAUAGCAGCCCAGGGUGCGCGAAAUGCUGUCGCUUUCUACAUCUGUAAUGGGACGGAGGGACGGCAGGAACACCAUUGUCUAAAGGGUGUGACCUAACAGAGCCGGGUUAGUCCGCAUCACUACUUUUCCCUAUCGCAGUGCGGACAUAGCAGAGGAUAUGGUGACAGUUGCGAUGGACAAGAGGGGCUUGCUAUUGCAAUUCCAAAUAUAUGCAUCCGGUCGCCUUUCCCACUACUCCCACAUAACAUCACGAUUAUACAUUAGCUGGUUUCUGUGGGACUACAUGCCCGUGCACUACCACGCCCAUAAACUGCUGCCGUACAUCCCAUCUGUACUUCGCAGGUCGUUUAAGAGGCUGCCCUUCUUCGUAUACGCCUACGUUAGCUCGGAGAACCCUCCACCCUUGAGUUUAUGCAGCGCCCGCUGCCGUUAUUUAGUAUUCCAUCGACGCCACGAUCUAUUGUACAUGCGACAUGUGCGUUUAUGCGAGUCUCAGCUCUCGAGCUGGCGGACUUUGUUCUUAGUCACCCAGGACCACAACGGCCCAACGAAGACUCGUCCAGGGAAGGCUCCGGCCCACGUCCCGACCAGCGUCCCCCACCUCCACCGCCACCUCGUCCAACCCUCGGCCUCCAACCGCCGCCGCCGCAACAGCCGCCGCUACUGCCGCCCUCGCCGCCGCUGCCAGCAGCGGAGCAGCAGCAGGAACAGAAGCAGCUGCCGCGGGGCCCGUCUGCCUCGCAGUUGCAGCUACGGCCAUCGGUAACGGGAUCGCUGGCGUCCAGGCUGGGAGCCGUAACCAUGGAGAUUCAGCAGUACGGCAGUACGCAAGUCAUGCCCAUGGAUGCCGUACGGAAUUGCUUUUCGAAGCUUCUAGUGGUGCGUUUUCGUUAUUGCUGUGUCAUCCUGUCUUGUCUUAUCUUUCUUGGGGUGUUACACUGUGGGCGGUUCGUCCCGAGAAAGGGCGAGCACCGGGGGACCUGACCGGGCCGAAACACAGCGCAGGGGCGGGCGCGCGGCUCUACGUCCGUCUGUUCCUCCGCGCGCGCCUUAGACCCUCACUCACGCCAACCGGGGUGCUUUCCCAGCCCCUGGCUAGGCAACACAGCGGUGCAGAAGACUGCGAGCCGAACUAAGCGAGAGCCGCACGAAAGGCGCCACAUCACCUCUGGAAACCCUAAACAGGCUAUCUGCCCCCACUUCGCCUGGCCAGUCUACUCGCGCGCUCUCUCCCCUCUAGACCACCAAAACUAUGGCUCUGCAAUGAUUUUCAAGGGCUGCCUCUUCCCCUAGUGUGCACACACAUUACCGUCUGCAACGAAUGCUCCAUAAAAGCAGCUCCAAGCCGCGUCGCCAGUAUGUUACUUCAUAGCCUUGCCAGCUGGAGCAAACCUGUGUUCCCUACGGCACCCAACAGUCCAGUUGAACAUCUACGGCCGACUUUGAAUGGCGCCAGGCUAGAGGAGCAGAUUUCUUCGUUAUGAUUUUGGAGUGAGCCCCCUUGCAUCACAGACAUGAUUCUGCAGAUUAUCUUUCAUACGCAAUCCCGUCUCGUCCGAUCAGGGCAAUGGGCUCCUGCAGAGACUAAACGCACAAUCGAGAUUUUAUCGCACUUUUGUGAAAAGGCGG
This 4796-nucleotide long non-coding RNA is filed under the name Volvox carteri. RNAcentral's name for it is "long non-coding RNA (VCAR_LNC000334)". Lineage: Eukaryota; Viridiplantae; Chlorophyta; Chlorophyceae; Chlamydomonadales; Volvocaceae. The record is from RNAcentral.